Caerostris darwini is the source of this 103-nucleotide non-coding RNA. The record is from the annotation of a GenBank genome assembly. Lineage: Eukaryota; Metazoa; Arthropoda; Arachnida; Araneae; Araneidae.
UACCAUGCUGAAUAUACCGGUGCUCGUUAGGUCACCGAAGUCAAUCAUCAUUGGCCGCGGUCAGUACUAGGGGGGUAGCCACCUGGGAACACCGCGUGCCGUU